This 340-nucleotide ribosomal RNA is filed under the name Ochromonas sp. CCMP1393. RNAcentral's name for it is "partial Bacterial small subunit ribosomal RNA". It matches the Rfam family "Bacterial small subunit ribosomal RNA", at positions 785 to 1127 of the family's 1533-position model. The record is from RNAcentral. Lineage: Eukaryota; Chrysophyceae; Chromulinales; Chromulinaceae.
CCCUGGUAGUCCACGCCGUAAACGAUGAAUGCUAGCUGCUAGGGUUAUUACUUCUUUAGUGGCGAAGUUAACGCAUUAAGCAUUCCGCCUGGGAAGUACGGCCGCAAGGCUAAAACUCAAAGGAAUUGACGGGGGCCCGCACAAGCGGCGGAGCAUGCGGAUUAAUUCGAUGCAACGCGAAGAACCUUACCAAGGCUUGACAUGCAGGGAAAUCCUCCAGAGAUGGGGGGUCCGCAAGGGUCCUGCACAGGUGGUGCAUGGUUGUCGUCAGCUCGUGUCGUGAGAUGUUGGGUUAAGUCCCGUAACGAGCGCAACCCUUGUCCUUAGUUACCAGCACGUU